RNAcentral lists this ribosomal RNA (200 nucleotides) under uncultured bacterium. RNAcentral's name for it is "partial 16S ribosomal RNA". It matches the Rfam family "Bacterial small subunit ribosomal RNA", at positions 525 to 724 of the family's 1533-position model. The record is from RNAcentral.
CGGAGGGAGGCUAGCGUUAUUCGGAAUUACUGGGCGUAAAGCGCACGUAGGCGGCUUUGCAAGUUAGAGGUGAAAGCCUGGAGCUCAACUCCAGAACUGCCUUUAAAACUGCAUCGCUUGAAUCCAGGAGAGGUGAGUGGAAUUCCGAGUGUAGAGGUGAAAUUCGUAGAUAUUCGGAGGAACACCAGUGGCGAAGGCGG